CGUGAAGGCUGGAUCGUAGAGGGCGUCUACAAGGGUCGAGCAGUCAGAUUCCACUUGAAGAUGAUCCGAUCCUCGCCCUCGUUGAAGCAAGAAGUGCAAGGUGUGAUUUAGUCCAAGCACCUCAGCCUGCAAAGCCGAAGAUGCAGACACUGUUUGCGCGAAACCAUCAAUCAAUACACCAGAGGAAUCACGGCACACACAAGCGACUGAUGCAUCAUGACACUGAGGUAGGUAAGCCGCAUCAAUAUUAACUUUGAUAGAGCCGUUAGCUGGUGGAUACCAUUGCUGAUGCGAAUCAUGUAGAUUUCUCACAUGCCGUUGCCUCGUCUGACCGACUCUCCCACUAGAUCGUGCGUCUACUAACGCAGAUUGCACAACGUGAUCAACAUUAGGACGUUGCUGUCGGAACAAGAGGUUGUUUCUGGCUUUCCAGAUAUGCCAGAGUAUAGCCGCAACUAUUUCAAGCUCAGG
RNAcentral lists this long non-coding RNA (471 nucleotides) under Eucalyptus grandis. RNAcentral describes it as "long non-coding RNA (EGRA_LNC001658)". The record is from RNAcentral. Lineage: Eukaryota; Viridiplantae; Streptophyta; Magnoliopsida; Myrtales; Myrtaceae.